GAUGAACGCUGGCGGCGUGCCUAAUACAUGCAAGUCGAGCGAACAGAUAAGGAGCUUGCUCCUUUGACGUUAGCGGCGGACGGGUGAGUAACACGUGGAUAACCUACCUAUAAGACUGGGAUAACUUCGGGAAACCGGAGCUAAUACCGGAUAACAUAUUGAACCGCAUGGUUCAAUAGUGAAAGGCGGCUUUGCUGUCACUUAUAGAUGGAUCCGCGCCGUAUUAGCUAGUUGGUAAGGUAACGGCUUACCAAGGCAACGAUACGUAGCCGACCUGAGAGGGUGAUCGGCCACACUGGAACUGAGACACGGUCCAGACUCCUACGGGAGGCAGCAGUAGGGAAUCUUCCGCAAUGGGCGAAAGCCUGACGGAGCAACGCCGCGUGAGUGAUGAAGGUCUUCGGAUCGUAAAACUCUGUUAUCAGGGAAGAACAAAUGUGCAAGUAACUGUGCACAUCUUGACGGUACCUGAUCAGAAAGCCACGGCUAACUACGUG
This 497-nucleotide ribosomal RNA is filed under the name uncultured bacterium. RNAcentral's name for it is "partial 16S ribosomal RNA". It matches the Rfam family "Bacterial small subunit ribosomal RNA", at positions 28 to 507 of the family's 1533-position model. The record is from RNAcentral.